CCUGUUUGAAGCUUUUGCCCAUCCUCGGCUCCACAGAGGCACUGGAGAGCAGUGGAAGGUGAAGCCUGCGGCUGAUUAAAGGGGUUGGACUGGCAAAGAAAUGAACAGAUUGCUAAACUUGGAAUAAGAGGGAGCUCUAUUUUUAAAAGGUUUCCGAGUAAUGGGACCAAUUAAUAACACGAAAAUAGAAUCGGAGCUGCUUUUCAUCCUCACUGCGAACAGAGUAAGGAAAAACAGGUGGGGCUGAGUAUGAAGGUUCAGGCUGCCGACAGUGCAGAAGUCAGGAGCGCGAGUACUGCCGCGAGUUCGGAUAUCGUCCGUCUGCAAUCUAAAGUAGGCCAGCGUGGGGAUGAAUCUGCUCACUGACACAGGAUGCUAAAAUGAAUGAAGAUGGAGAAGAAGCAGCCCAGAGGCCACUUCAUGAGGGGAGAGCCAAGGAGAAGCAGGAUCAAGUCCAGGGUGGUUCUGAAGGACCACCCUUAUUUAAGAAGCAACCAGACCCCUGCCCACUUCCAAUCACUUCCUGCUACCCCUUCUUG
This 539-nucleotide long non-coding RNA is filed under the name Rattus norvegicus (Norway rat). Its description in RNAcentral is "long non-coding RNA NONRATT032637". The record is from RNAcentral. Lineage: Eukaryota; Metazoa; Chordata; Mammalia; Rodentia; Muridae.